UCGCGGCUUAUCACCGGCAGUCACCUUAGAGUGCCCAACUGAAUGCUGGCAACUAAGAUCAAGGGUUGCGCUCGUUGCGGGACUUAACCCAACAUCUCACGACACGAGCUGACGACAACCAUGCACCACCUGUCACCGCUGUCCCCGAAGGGAAAGGUAUAUCUCUAUACCGGUCAGCGGGAUGUCAAGACCUGGUAAGGUUCUGCGCGUCGCGUCGAAUUAAACCACAUGCUCCACCGCUUGUGCGGGCCCCCGUCAAUUCCUUUGAGUUUCAACCUUGCGGCCGUACUCCCCAGGCGGGAUGCUUAAUGCGUUAGCUGCGCCACUGAUAAGCAUGCUUACCAACGGCUAGCAUCCAUCGUUUACGGCGUGGACUAC
RNAcentral lists this unclassified non-coding RNA (378 nucleotides) under uncultured bacterium. RNAcentral describes it as "contains 16S-23S intergenic spacer region". The record is from RNAcentral.